Molecule: long non-coding RNA, 329 nt
Filed under: Mustela putorius furo (domestic ferret)
Lineage: Eukaryota; Metazoa; Chordata; Mammalia; Carnivora; Mustelidae
Description: lncRNA (ENSMPUG00000025859.1)
Source: RNAcentral
AAGUGAGCAGUGCCUUUCUACAAGGAGACACCACAGCAGGAGAUGGUGACUUGAGCAGACAAAAAACAUGGAGAAAAGUGCAGGAGACUCAGCUUGGAAGCAAGAGGGCUACUAGCACUUUCUAAGUCCUUCUCACCAUUUGUCUUCCUGACAAGUUACUUUUUGCUCCUCUUCCCCCAGGAGGCACCCAGCAGAUGUCAGCCAUUUAAGACAAAAAAGGCAGUCUUUCCUAUCGAGGAACUGGACCCUGCUUUAGAGAAACUGGGAGAGCAAUUCUUUGCAGGGAGAAGCGUCUCAGAGGUGUGGAGAAUAUGAACCAUGGCUCCAAC